GUGGGGAAUAUUGGACAAUGGGCGAAAGCCUGAUCCAGCCAUGCCGCGUGUGUGAAGAAGGCCUUUUGGUUGUAAAGCACUUUAAGCGAGGAGGAGGCUACUUGGAUUAAUACUCUAGGAUAGUGGACGUUACUCGCAGAAUAAGCACCGGCUAACUCUGUGCCAGCAGCCGCGGUAAUACAGAGGGUGCGAGCGUUAAUCGGAUUUACUGGGCGUAAAGCGUGCGUAGGCGGCUUUUUAAGUCGGAUGUGAAAUCCCCGAGCUUAACUUGGGAAUUGCAUUCGAUACUGGGAAGCUAGAGUAUGGGAGAGGAUGGUAGAAUUCCAGGUGUAGCGGUGAAAUGCGUAGAGAUCUGGAGGAAUACCGAUGGCGAAGGCAGCCAUCUGGCCUAAUACUGACGCUGAGGUACGAAAGCAUGGGGAGCAAACAGGAUUAGAAACCCUUGUAGUCC
This 451-nucleotide ribosomal RNA is filed under the name uncultured bacterium. RNAcentral's name for it is "partial 16S ribosomal RNA". It matches the Rfam family "Bacterial small subunit ribosomal RNA", at positions 354 to 796 of the family's 1533-position model. The record is from RNAcentral.